AUUGAACGCUGGCGGCAUGCCUUACACAUGCAAGUCGAACGGCAGCACGGGUGCUUGCACCUGGUGGCGAGUGGCGAACGGGUGAGUAAUACAUCGGAACAUGUCCUGUAGUGGGGGAUAGCCCGGCGAAAGCCGGAUUAAUACCGCAUACGAUCUACGGAUGAAAGCGGGGGACCUUCGGGCCUCGCGCUAUAGGGUUGGCCGAUGGCUGAUUAGCUAGUUGGUGGGGUAAAGGCCUACCAAGGCGACGAUCAGUAGCUGGUCUGAGAGGACGACCAGCCACACUGGGACUGAGACACGGCCCAGACUCCUACGGGAGGCAGCAGUGGGGAAUUUUGGACAAUGGGCGAAAGCCUGAUCCAGCAAUGCCGCGUGUGUGAAGAAGGCCUUCGGGUUGAAAAGCACUUUUGUCCGGAAAGAAAUCCUUGGCCCUAAUACGGUCGGGGGAUGACGGUACCGGAAGAAUAAGCACCGGCUAACUACGUG
RNAcentral lists this ribosomal RNA (486 nucleotides) under uncultured bacterium. Its description in RNAcentral is "partial 16S ribosomal RNA". It matches the Rfam family "Bacterial small subunit ribosomal RNA", at positions 30 to 507 of the family's 1533-position model. The record is from RNAcentral.